This 26-nucleotide non-coding RNA is filed under the name Homo sapiens (human). The record is from RNAcentral. Lineage: Eukaryota; Metazoa; Chordata; Mammalia; Primates; Hominidae.
UUGCUGUGGUGGGUAGUAAUACUAUC